GAAUUGACGGGGACCCGCACAAGCGGUGGAGCAUGUGGUUUAAUUCGAAGCAACGCGAAGAACCUUACCAGGUCUCGACAUCCCGCUGACCGGUCCGUAACGGGGCCUUCCCUUCGGGGCAGCGGAGACAGGUGGUGCAUGGUUGUCGUCAGCUCGUGUCGUGAGAUGUUGGGUUAAGUCCCGCAACGAGCGCAACCCUUAUCCUUAGUAGCCAGCACGUAGAGGUGGGCACUCUGGGGAGACUGCCAGGGACAACUUGGAGGAAGGUGGGGAUGACGUCAAAUCAUCAUGCCCCUUAUGAUCUGGGCUACACACGUGCUACAAUGGCGGCCACAAAGGGAAGCGACCCUGUGAAGGUGAGCGAAUCCCAAAAAAGCCGUCCCAGUUCGGAUUGUAGUCUGCAACUCGACUACAUGAAGCCGGAAUCGCUAGUAAUCGCGAAUCAGCAUGUCGUGGUGAAUACGUUCCCGGGUCUUGUACACACCG
Molecule: ribosomal RNA, 486 nt
Filed under: uncultured Lachnospiraceae bacterium
Lineage: Bacteria; Bacillati; Bacillota; Clostridia; Lachnospirales; Lachnospiraceae
Description: bacterial SSU rRNA
Rfam family: Bacterial small subunit ribosomal RNA
Source: RNAcentral